RNAcentral lists this unclassified non-coding RNA (264 nucleotides) under Bombus terrestris (buff-tailed bumblebee). RNAcentral describes it as "misc RNA ENSBTSG00005022790.1". The record is from RNAcentral. Lineage: Eukaryota; Metazoa; Arthropoda; Insecta; Hymenoptera; Apidae.
AAAGAUCGCAAGGAAGGGAUAUUUUUGAAAAGGGACAUUUUUUUGUACCUUAUUAUUUCUCGAGAGACGAAGUUUCAAGUUUAUCUUUAUUUGGUGAAUAUUCACAAAACAAGCCUCAAUUCAUCACAGCAACAAAGAUAUCUUCCUAAAGGCUAAAUAUCAGAAGAUCGAUAUCAGAUCCUUUUUCCAAUGACCAGUUUUUGCAAUCUUAAAUCACCGACUCUCAGGCGAUGCUCAAAGCUGAACAAAGCUCCUAUAAAACAU